UGACGUGGAUGCUCGCCUUAAAGACUAAGCCAUGCAAGUUUGCGAGCCGAGCAAUGAACGGCUCAGUAGAACAGGGCGCUCUAACGCCUCAGCAAGAUAACCACGGGAAACUGUGGCUGAGAGGGGCGAUGAGGCUCUGACCUAUCAGCUAGUCGGUACGGUAAGUGCGUACGGAGGCGAUGACGGGUAACGGGGGAUGAUGUCUGAUUCCGGAGAGGGAGCCUGAGAGACGGCUGCCACGUCCAAGGAUGGCAGCAGGCGCGGAACUUACCCAAUGAGCAUUGAGGUAGUGACGAGGCGUAUUUUUGUGAGCCAUGGAUUAGAAACCCUGGUGAGGGCGACUGGAGGGCAAGUCUGGUGCCAGCAGCCGCGGUAAUUCCAGCUCCAGUAGCGUCUGUGUGUGUUGCUGCGGUUAAAAAGCGCGUAGUCGGCAGCGAUGGUGGUCUUUUUGAUGGGUCUUCAUGGCGCAUUUCGAGAUCUGACCUCGCUGCUAGGGAGCGUGAGACGCUGGUGGUAUUCGACAGCGAGGGGUGAAAACUGCAGACCUGACGAGGAGCAACAAAGGCGUAGGCAGCCAGCGAGUGCGCAUCCGACGAUCAAGCGCGUGGGCAGGAGUAUCGAAGGCGAUUAGAGACCGUCGUAGUUCCUGCAGUAAACGAUGCCGACACGGUUGAUCAGAGUUGACCGAGGGGAAACCUAGUGUACGGGCUCCGGGGAGAGUACGAGCGCAAGCUUGAAACUUGAAGAAAUUGACGGAAGGACACCACAAGGCGUGGAGUGUGCGGGUUAAUCUGACUCAACGCGAAGAAACUUACCCAGUCCGCGACUAUUGCGAGAGGGACACCCGAUGAUGUCGCACGUGGUGCAUGGCCGUUCUCAACGCAAGGGGUGACCAAUGAGUUAGUUCUGGCAAGCAGUGAGGCCCCUGUACAGAUGUAGACGGCGUACGUAAGUGCGAGGAAGCGAGGGCGUAUAACAGGUCUGUGAUGCCCGCAGAUGACUGGGGCACCACGCGCACUACAAUUAGCGACAGCUAGUGGUAGGGAUUGGCGCUUGUAAAUGCGCCAUGAACGAGGAAUGCCUAGUAGGAGCCAGUCAACAGCUGGAGCCGAAUGAGUCCCUGUUCUUUGUACACACCGCCCGUCGUUAUCUAAGAUGGCCGUGCGGAUGAAGUCUUCUUUGGAGGAAUGAAUCUGUGCAGCUAGAUUGGAUACAAGUCG
RNAcentral lists this ribosomal RNA (1220 nucleotides) under Novothelohania ovalae. Its description in RNAcentral is "SSU rRNA". It matches the Rfam family "Microsporidia small subunit ribosomal RNA". The record is from RNAcentral. Lineage: Eukaryota; Fungi; Microsporidia; Amblyosporidae.